Non-coding RNA from Arachis ipaensis, 387 nucleotides. Lineage: Eukaryota; Viridiplantae; Streptophyta; Magnoliopsida; Fabales; Fabaceae. The record is from RefSeq and is a predicted model, not a curated record.
CAACCAGCACCACCCUCGCAGUCGUAGACACUACACCACCCAGCAGGCCAGCACCAUCCAGCGGCACCCCAGCGCCACCAACAGGACCGAUCUGGCCACCCCCAACACUGUUUGUGGCCACCCAUAGCAGUACUCUGCGUUUCUGGCCUGGCCACCCACAACACAGCAGCCACCGGUUGGCCCUCUUCCAGUGCUCUUCCUCCUUUCUAUCCACUUGAUUUCAGCUUCAGAUGCUUGCGGAUCCUAAGGAGGAAGGUCCCGACACAGUUCACAGAGUGAAGAAAUAACUAAUAAGCACCUUGAUUUCAUUGCCAUGUCUUAUGUAUGUUAAGUAAUUUCUUUUACAACAGCACUAGGUAUUGAAGUUAAAGUAGAAGCCAGGUAUAU